GGAUUCCAGGCGACGCGACCUAUCUAGAUGGAAUGAUAGGUGGUCACCAGGGGUCUGCUCCACUCGGUAGAGGUGGAGACCACCGGACUCAAGGUGACGGGACAGGGGAUCUUAGGUCCCCAGACACCCUCCUGGGCGAGGAGUCGGGGACUCUAGGAGCAGCGUCCUUACCUCCUGCCUGUUCUAUCCUCCGCUCUCCGGAGGUCAGCUGAGAUCGUGGCGCAGCAGCUAUAGCGCGAACAGCGUUUCUCCUUGCGCGUCCUCCACCAAGAUGUCGCCGAUGGAGCGGUGGCUCCGCGGUCCUACAGCAGCCGGAGACGAAGGCGCCGCCCUAGCCUGAAGCCUGCACCUCCCCGCGCGCCCGCCGGGCCCCCGCCCGCUCCUGCGCCCGCGCCUGGGGCGCUGCUGUGAACCCCCAGCUCGUUCGCCCACUCGCUACUGGGGGCCUCGCGAGGAGGCUUCAGCUCUAGAUGCAACCUGAGCAACCAACACCUAGCCGAGGACCAAAUCCUGUGUCCCGAUUCCUUCCUCUUUUCACAACGCCCGGGUUCUCAGGCCUUAGUGAUUUUUUUAUUGUUGUUGUUAAUGAUGUUGUUGAUGUUGCUAUUUUAAUACAUUUCCCUCCUCUGCCCCCUUUUUGAGACAAAUCUCAUGUUACCAAGGCUGGUCUAGAACUCAUUCCAGAGCCCAAGCUGGUCUUGAACUCCUGAUCCUUCUCCGCCAACCUCACAAGUGCUGGAAUUAGCAGGUAUGAGCCGCCUCACCUGCCCUUGCCUUUUAUAACUUACUAGAGGCCAACUUUUGUAAAAAUAAAUAAAUAAAAUAAAAUAAAGCCUAGGGCCUGCUCAAGGACCUGGUGCAAAUGUUUGGCUUGGGCUCUAAUGGACAGGGUCGCAGGGUUGUUACUGUUGCAAUCCUGCUCUACAGAUGGCUUUUGUAAAAGGAAGCAUUGAUGCAAUCGCUGCAGAAAGAUUUGAAAGGACAGGCAUCCAGGAAGGAUCAC
Molecule: long non-coding RNA, 1003 nt
Filed under: Mus musculus (house mouse)
Lineage: Eukaryota; Metazoa; Chordata; Mammalia; Rodentia; Muridae
Description: long non-coding RNA chr8:123859661-123860664
Source: RNAcentral